UGGAUCAGUGGCGAACGGGUGAGUAACACGUGAGCAAUCUGCCCCGAACUCUGGGAUAAGCGUUGGAAACGACGUCUAAUACCGGAUACGACGCGCGAAGGCAUCUUCAGCGCGUGGAAAGAACUUCGGUUCGGGAUGAGCUCGCGGCCUAUCAGCUAGUUGGUGAGGUAACGGCUCACCAAGGCGACGACGGGUAGCCGGCCUGAGAGGGUGACCGGCCACACUGGGACUGAGACACGGCCCAGACUCC
This 250-nucleotide ribosomal RNA is filed under the name uncultured bacterium. RNAcentral describes it as "partial 16S ribosomal RNA". It matches the Rfam family "Bacterial small subunit ribosomal RNA", at positions 88 to 339 of the family's 1533-position model. The record is from RNAcentral.